This 67-nucleotide transfer RNA is filed under the name Chiton albolineatus. RNAcentral's name for it is "tRNA-Cys". The record is from RNAcentral. Lineage: Eukaryota; Metazoa; Mollusca; Polyplacophora; Chitonida; Chitonidae.
GUUUUAUAGUUGAAUAAUAAUAUUGAAUUGCAGAUUCAAAGGUUGCAAAUAAAAUUUGCUGAAACUU